This 631-nucleotide ribosomal RNA is filed under the name uncultured bacterium. Its description in RNAcentral is "bacterial SSU rRNA". It matches the Rfam family "Bacterial small subunit ribosomal RNA", at positions 202 to 833 of the family's 1533-position model. The record is from RNAcentral.
UAAAGGUAUUCCGGUAGACGAUGGGGAUGCGUUCCAUUAGAUAGUAGGCGGGGUAACGGCCCACCUAGUCUUCGAUGGAUAGGGGUUCUGAGAGGAAGGUCCCCCACAUUGGAACUGAGACACGGUCCAAACUCCUACGGGAGGCAGCAGUGAGGAAUAUUGGUCAAUGGGCGAGAGCCUGAACCAGCCAAGUAGCGUGAAGGAUGACUGCCCUAUGGGUUGUAAACUUCUUUUAUAAAGGAAUAAAGUCGGGUAUGGAUACCCGUUUGCAUGUACUUUAUGAAUAAGGAUCGGCUAACUCCGUGCCAGCAGCCGCGGUAAUACGGAGGAUCCGAGCGUUAUCCGGAUUUAUUGGGUUUAAAGGGAGCGUAGAUGGAUGUUUAAGUCAGUUGUGAAAGUUUGCGGCUCAACCGUAAAAUUGCAGUUGAUACUGGAUAUCUUGAGUGCAGUUGAGGCAGGCGGAAUUCGUGGUGUAGCGGUGAAAUGCUUAGAUAUCACGAAGAACUCCGAUUGCGAAGGCAGCCUGCUAAGCUGCAACUGACAUUGAGGCUCGAAAGUGUGGGUAUCAAACAGGAUUAGAUACCCUGGUAGUCCACACGGUAAACGAUGAAUACUCGCUGUUUGCGAUAUA